GACGAACGCUGGCGGCGUGCUUAACACAUGCAAGUCGAACGGAAAGGCCCUGCUUUUGUGGGGUGCUCGAGUGGCGAACGGGUGAGUAACACGUGAGUAACCUGCCCUUGACUUUGGGAUAACUUCAGGAAACUGGGGCUAAUACCGGAUAGGAGCUCCUGCUGCAUGGUGGGGGUUGGAAAGUUUCGGCGGUUGGGGAUGGACUCGCGGCUUAUCAGCUUGUUGGUGGGGUAGUGGCUUACCAAGGCUUUGACGGGUAGCCGGCCUGAGAGGGUGACCGGCCACAUUGGGACUGAGAUACGGCCCAGACUCCUACGGGAGGCAGCAGUGGGGAAUAUUGCACAAUGGGCGGAAGCCUGAUGCAGCAACGCCGCGUGCGGGAUGACGCCCUUCGGGUUGUAAACCGCUUUCGCCUGUGACGAAGCGUGAGUGACGGUAAUGGGUAAAGAAGCACCGGCUAACUACGUG
This 468-nucleotide ribosomal RNA is filed under the name uncultured bacterium. RNAcentral describes it as "partial 16S ribosomal RNA". It matches the Rfam family "Bacterial small subunit ribosomal RNA", at positions 28 to 507 of the family's 1533-position model. The record is from RNAcentral.